RNAcentral lists this ribosomal RNA (492 nucleotides) under uncultured bacterium. RNAcentral's name for it is "partial 16S ribosomal RNA". It matches the Rfam family "Bacterial small subunit ribosomal RNA", at positions 29 to 507 of the family's 1533-position model. The record is from RNAcentral.
AGUGAACGCUGGCGGUAGGCCUAACACAUGCCAGUCGAACGGCAGCACAGUAAGAGCUUGCUCUUACGGGUGGCGAGUGGCGGACGGGUGAGGAAUGCAUCGGAAUCUACUUUUUCGUGGGGGAUAACGUAGGGAAACUUACGCUAAUACCGCAUACGACCUACGGGUGAAAGCAGGGGAUCUUCGGACCUUGCGCGAUUGAAUGAGCCGAUGUCGGAUUAGCUAGUUGGCGGGGUAAAGGCCCACCAAGGCGACGAUCCGUAGCUGGUCUGAGAGGAUGAUCAGCCACACUGGAACUGAGACACGGUCCAGACUCCUACGGGAGGCAGCAGUGGGGAAUAUUGGACAAUGGGCGCAAGCCUGAUCCAGCCAUACCGCGUGGGUGAAGAAGGCCUUCGGGUUGUAAAGCCCUUUUGUUGGGAAAGAAAAGCAGCAGGUUAAUACCCCGCUGUUCUGACGGUACCCAAAGAAUAAGCACCGGCUAACUUCGUG